CCCGCACAAGCAGUGGAGUAUGUGGUUUAAUUCGAAGCAACGCGAAGAACCUUACCAGGUCUUGACAUCCCCUGACAACCCGAGAGAUCGGGCGUUCCCCCUUCGGGGGACAGGGUGACAGGUGGUGCAUGGUUGUCGUCAGCUCGUGUCGUGAGAUGUUGGGUUAAGUCCCGCAACGAGCGCAACCCUCGACCUUAGUUGCCAGCAUUCAGUUGGGCACUCUAAGGUGACUGCCGGCUAAAAGUCGGAGGAAGGUGGGGAUGACGUCAAAUCAUCAUGCCCCUUAUGACCUGGGCUACACACGUGCUACAAUGGGCGGUACAAAGGGUCGCGAACCCGCGAGGGGGAGCCAAUCCCAAAAAGCCGCUCUCAGUUCGGAUUGCAGGCUGCAAUUCGCCUGCAUGAAGUCGGAAUCGCUAGUAAUCGCAGGUCAGCAUACUGCGGUGAAUACGUUCCCGGGCCUU
This 464-nucleotide ribosomal RNA is filed under the name uncultured Anoxybacillus sp. RNAcentral's name for it is "bacterial SSU rRNA". It matches the Rfam family "Bacterial small subunit ribosomal RNA", at positions 920 to 1382 of the family's 1533-position model. Lineage: Bacteria; Bacillati; Bacillota; Bacilli; Caryophanales; Anoxybacillaceae. The record is from RNAcentral.